RNAcentral lists this ribosomal RNA (497 nucleotides) under uncultured bacterium. RNAcentral's name for it is "partial 16S ribosomal RNA". It matches the Rfam family "Bacterial small subunit ribosomal RNA", at positions 28 to 507 of the family's 1533-position model. The record is from RNAcentral.
GAUGAACGCUGGCGGCGUGCCUAAUACAUGCAAGUCGAGCGAACGGACGAGAAGCUUGCUUUUCUGAUGUUAGCGGCGGACGGGUGAGUAACACGUGGAUAACCUACCUAUAAGACUGGGAUAACUUCGGGAAACCGGAGCUAAUACCGGAUAAUAUUUUGAACCGCAUGGUUCAAAAGUGAAAGACGGUCUUGCUGUCACUUAAAGAUGGAUCCGCGCUGCAUUAGCUAGUUGGUAAGGUAACGGCUUACCAAGGCAACGAUGCAUAGCCGACCUGAGAGGGUGAUCGGCCACACUGGAACUGAGACACGGUCCAGACUCCUACGGGAGGCAGCAGUAGGGAAUCUUCCGCAAUGGGCGAAAGCCUGACGGAGCAACGCCGCGUGAGUGAUGAAGGUCUUCGGAUCGUAAAACUCUGUUAUUAGGGAAGAACAUAUGUGUAAGUAACUGUGCACAUCUUGACGGUACCUAAUCAGAAAGCCACGGCUAACUACGUG